Molecule: ribosomal RNA, 2883 nt
Filed under: Actinobacteria bacterium Ga0077541
Lineage: Bacteria; Bacillati; Actinomycetota
Description: bacterial LSU rRNA
Rfam family: Bacterial large subunit ribosomal RNA
Source: RNAcentral
UCAAGAUAUUAAGGGCACGCGGUGGAUGCCUUGGCGUCAGAAGCCGAUGAAGGACGUGGACGGCUGCGAUAAGCCGCGGUGAGGCGCUGAACAGCCUUUGACCCGCGGAUUUCCGAAUGGGGGAACCCACGCGUGGUAAUGCGCGCGUAUCUCCGCCUGAACACAUAGGGCGGUUGAAGGCAAGCCGGCGAAGUGACACAUCUCAGUAGCCGGAGGAAAGGAAAGAAACCUCGACUCCCUGAGUAGUGGCGAGCGAAAAGGGAUCAGCCUAAACCGUUUGAGUGCCAUGCCUGCGGGCUUAGCUCAAGCGGGGUUGUAGGAGUGACAUGGUCGUCCCGCAGGGCGGCCGGGAAGUUACAAAACCACAGGUUAGCCGAGCAGCUUGGAACGGCUGGCUACAAAGGGUAACAGCCCCGUAGGUGAAAGCCUGUGGACUUCCUCGUCACCACCUGAGUACGACCGGGCACGGGAAACCCGGUCGGAAGCUACGGGGACCACCCCGUAAGGCUAAGUACUUUCUGACGACCGAUAGCGAACUAGUACCGUGAGGGAAAGGUGAAAAGUACCCCGGGAGGGGAGUGAAAUAGUACCUGAAACCGCGUGCCUACAAGCGGUAGGAGCAGACUUCGGUCUGUGACUGCGUGCUUUUUGCAUAACGAGCCUGCGAGUUACUCGUGUCCGGCAAGGUUAAGAUAACGGAGCCGUAGCGAAAGCGAGUCUGAAUAGGGCGCUUUAGUCGGACGCGGUAGACCCGAAACCGAGUGAUCUAUCCAUGGGCAGGUUGAAGCGGGGGUAAGACCUCGUGGAGGACCGAACCCACGUCGGUUGAAAACGGCGGGGAUGACCUGUGGAUCGGAGUGAAAGGCUAAUCAAACUCGGUGAUAUCUGGUUCUCUCCGAAAUAUAUUUUGGUAUAGCCUCCUGCGUUCAGUCGUGGUUGUAAAGCACUGUUUGGCCUAGGGGCCCUACCAGGUUACCGAAGUCAGAUAAACUCUGAAUGCCAUGACUUUAGAGCAGGGGAGUCAGACUGCGGGGGAUAAGCUUCGUAGUCGAGAGGGAAACAGCCCAGACCACCAGCUAAGGGCCCCAAGCGCUGGCUAAGUGGAAAACGUUGUGCGAGUGCACAGACAACCAGGAUGUUGGCUUAGAGGCAGCCAUUCGUCUAAGGAGUGCGUAAUAGCUCACUGGUCAAGUGCUCGUGCGCGGAUAAUGUAACGGGGCUCAAGCCAGCCCCCGAAGCUGUGGGCUUCGUCUUUGACGGAGCGGUAGGAGAGCGUUCUUCGUGCAGUGAAGCGGCAGCGGCAAGCUCCCGUGGAGCGCGGAGAAGUGAGAAUGCAGGCAUAAGUAACGAAAGAGGAGUGAGAAACUCCUCCACCGGAUGCCCAAGGUUUCCUGAGUAAAGCUAAUCUGCUCAGGGUUAGUCGGGACCUAAGCCGAGGCCGACAGGCGUAGGCGAUGGAUAACAGGUUGAUAUUCCUGUACUGCGUCUUCCGCGCUAUUACCGAUGGGGGGACGGGGAAGGAUAGGCGAACCGUGGCGAUGGUCGUCCACGGACAACCCGGUAGGAGGGACCCCAGGAAAAUCCAGGGUCCACAUACUCCGAGAGGGGAUGUCGGUCGGCGUAAGCCGGCAAGUCGUCGAGUCCAUGCCUCCGAGAAAAGCCUCUAGGGAGUGGGAACGCACCCGUACCAAAACCGACACAGGUGGGCAGGUAGAGCAUACCGAGGUGAUCGAGAGAACCCUCGUUAAGGAACUCGGCAAAAUUGUCCCGUAACUUCGGGAGAAGGGACGCCCCGGUAGAGUGACGGACUUCGCGUCUUGAGCUCGAGGGGGCCGCAGAGAAUUGGCCCAACCGACUGUUUACCAAAAACACAGGUCUCUGCGAAGUCGUAAGACGACGUAUAGGGGCUGACGCCUGCCCGGUGCCGGAAGGUCAAGUGGAGAGGUUAGCCCUUGAGGCGAAGCUUUGAAACCAAGCCCCGGUAAACGGCGGCCGUAACUAUAACGGUCCUAAGGUAGCGAAAUUCCUUGUCGGGUAAGUUCCGACCUGCACGAAUGGCGUAACGAGUUGGGCGCUGUCUCAACGAGGGACUCGGUGAAAUUGUAGUAUCGGUGAAGAUGCCGAUUACCCGCCGCAAGACGGAAAGACCCCGUGAACCUUUACUGCAGCUUGAUAUUGGUGUCUGGGACAUCCUGUCCAGGAUAGGUGGGAGGCUGUGAGACCGUGGCGUCAGCUGCGGAGGAGCCACCCUUGGGAUACCACCCUGGAUGUUCUGGGCUUCUAACGGAAGACCGUGAUCCGGCUUUCGGACAGUGUCAGGUGGGCAGUUUGACUGGGGCGGUCGCCUCCCAAAUUGUAACGGAGGCGCACAAAGGUUCCCUCAGCACGGUUGGAAAUCGUGCGUAGAGUGUAAAGGCAUAAGGGAGCUUGACUGCGAGACUGACAGGUCGAGCAGGUACGAAAGUAGGUCUUAGUGAUCCGGCGGUAGAGAGUGGAAUUGCCGUCGCUCAACGGAUAAAAGGUACUCCGGGGAUAACAGGCUUAUCCUCCCCAAGAGUCCACAUCGACGGGAGGGUUUGGCACCUCGAUGUCGGCUCGUCGCAUCCUGGGGCUGGAGUAGGUCCCAAGGGUUGGGCUGUUCGCCCAUUAAAGCGGUACGCGAGCUGGGUUCAGAACGUCGUGAGACAGUUCGGUCCCUAUCUGCGGUGGGCGUUGGAGAUUUGAGAGGAGUCGUCCCUAGUACGAGAGGACCGGGAUGAACAGACCUCUGGUGUAUCAGUUGUCGUGCCAACGGCACUGCUGACUAGCUACGUCUGGACGGGAUAACCGCUGAAAGCAUCUAAGCGGGAAGCCCACCUCAAGAUGAGAUCUCCCACCCCUUAG